This 513-nucleotide ribosomal RNA is filed under the name uncultured bacterium. RNAcentral's name for it is "bacterial SSU rRNA". It matches the Rfam family "Bacterial small subunit ribosomal RNA", at positions 15 to 518 of the family's 1533-position model. The record is from RNAcentral.
GAUCCUGGCUCAGGAUGAACGCUAGCGACAGGCUUAACACAUGCAAGGUCGAGGGGCAUCACGGGAGUAGCAAUACAACUGGUGGCGACCGGCGCACGGGUGAGUAACGCGUAUGCAACCUACCUAUCAGAGGGGAAUAACCCGGCGAAAGUCGGACUAAUACCGCAUAAAACAGGGGCACCGCAUGGUGAUAUUUGUUAAAGAAAUUCGCUGAUAGAUGGGCAUGCGUUCCAUUAGGUAGUUGGUGAGGUAACGGCUCACCAAGCCGACGAUGGAUAGGGGAACUGAGAGGUUGGUCCCCCACACUGGUACUGAGACACGGACCAGACUCCUACGGGAGGCAGCAGUGAGGAAUAUUGGUCAAUGGGCGGGAGCCUGAACCAGCCAAGUCGCGUGAAGGAAGAAGGAUCUAUGGUUCGUAAACUUCUUUUGCAGGGGAAUAAAGUGCAGGACGUGUCCUGUUUUGUAUGUACCCUGAGAAUAAGGAUCGGCUAACUCCGUGCCAGCCGCCGC